AUGAUUAUCAACAAAAGCCAUGGACAAUCCAUAAACAAGGUAGGAUUAUAUCUACCAGAACAAGUUUUCGCACAUGGACAAUUAUACGUAGCCUUCUCAAGAGUCAAAAAAAGGGAUGGACUAUGGGUAAUGGUAAAUGAUGAAGAUAGCAAUGAGGACGAUGUGGUCACAAACAUAGCCUAUAAAGAAAUAUUCUAA
RNAcentral lists this ribosomal RNA (198 nucleotides) under Triticum aestivum (bread wheat). Its description in RNAcentral is "partial small subunit ribosomal RNA". Lineage: Eukaryota; Viridiplantae; Streptophyta; Magnoliopsida; Poales; Poaceae. The record is from RNAcentral.